GAUGAACGCUGGCGGCGUGCCUAAUACAUGCAAGUCGAGCGAACAGACGAGGAGCUUGCUCCUCUGACGUUAGCGGCGGACGGGUGAGUAACACGUGGAUAACCUACCUAUAAUACUGGGAUAACUUCGGGAAACCGGAUCUAAUACCGGAUAAUAUAUUGAACCGCAUGGUUCAAUAGUGAAAGACGGUUUUGCUGUCACUUAUAGAUGGAUCCGCGCCGCAUUAGCUAGUUGGUAAGGUAACGGCUUACCAAGGCAACGAUGCGUAGCCGACCUGAGAGGGUGAUCGGCCACACUGGAACUGAGACACGGUCCAGACUCCUACGGGAGGCAGCAGUAGGGAAUCUUCCGCAAUGGGCGAAAGCCUGACGGAGUAACGCCGCGUGAGUGAUGAAGGUCUUCGGAUCGUAAAACUCUGUUAUUAGGGAAGAACAAAUGUGUAAGUAACUAUGCACGUCUUGACGGUACCUAAUCAGAAAGCCACGGCUAACUACGUG
RNAcentral lists this ribosomal RNA (497 nucleotides) under uncultured bacterium. Its description in RNAcentral is "partial 16S ribosomal RNA". It matches the Rfam family "Bacterial small subunit ribosomal RNA", at positions 28 to 507 of the family's 1533-position model. The record is from RNAcentral.